Molecule: long non-coding RNA, 565 nt
Organism: Saccostrea cuccullata (small rock oyster)
Lineage: Eukaryota; Metazoa; Mollusca; Bivalvia; Ostreida; Ostreidae
Exons: 3
Source: RefSeq, a predicted model, not a curated record
UUUGUACUUUAUGGUUCUCCAUUGAUCUACUCCAUCCAAUGGUUUUGUUCCAUUUAGAUUACCGCCGACCAUUGACACAAGUGUGGGAAACCAGUCUGAGACGUGGAUUAGGUCUCGUGAAACGAUUCCUUUCCUCUUCAACAUCUGACCAUGAACAAACCCUACUCCAUGAACACCUCCUUCCCAGAGAGAGUUUUUCCAUCCUCUCAGGGGAUAGUUAUUCCCUCCUGCAUGAAUUUGUCCCCCAUUAUCUGUAAAAUACAACAAAAAAUGUGAAAAUUUCAUAUUAUCUAAGAGAUUUCAUUGACCUGAAAGGUAAAACCUUUAAAUGACUGAUCAGGCAUAAUUAAUUAAGACGGUUCAUUCCAACGUAGCUGUUACUCCUUCAUGACUUACAAGUAUACAAAAGGAACUCCAUUCUCCAUUGAUCUACUCCAUCCAAUGGUUGUGUUCCUUUUGGAUUACCAUCAACCAUCGACAUGUGCAAGUGUGGGCAACCAGUUUGAAACGUGGAUUAGGUCUCGUGAAACUACUCCUUUCCUCUUCAACAUAUGACCAUGAACAA